This 319-nucleotide long non-coding RNA is filed under the name Mytilus galloprovincialis (Mediterranean mussel). The record is from RNAcentral. Lineage: Eukaryota; Metazoa; Mollusca; Bivalvia; Mytilida; Mytilidae.
AAGAGGGGGGGGGCAAGGGGGGUCCCAAUAACAGCAAAACAGCAAAUUGAUUUGGCUCAUAACAGAUAACAAGGAAUUAAAAUGGACAAAAACAGAUAACAGUAAAUGAAAUAUUAAAAUAAUUCGGUCUUUGACAAAUCAGUAUUUCUUAUUACGGAUAUAAUCCUUUGUAAUGCAUUCCACUUUCUAUGACUAUGUUUUUAGUAUUAAUUUAUGUAUCUAGAAUGUGUUUAAAUUACUACUCAAUAUAUUAUAAUAUUUUUUAUAUGCUCGUUUACGGAACGUAUUAUGGUAUACUGUUGUCCGUCUGUUGUCAACA